Molecule: small RNA, 823 nt
Filed under: uncultured Actinomycetales bacterium
Lineage: Bacteria; Bacillati; Actinomycetota; Actinomycetes; Actinomycetales
Description: bacterial SSU rRNA
Rfam family: Bacterial small subunit ribosomal RNA (bases 1-471)
Source: RNAcentral
GCCGUGAGGUGUUGCCUUAAGUGGCGCAACGAGCGCAACCCCUGUCCUUAGUUGCCAGCGGAUCAUGCCGGGAACUCUAGGGAGACUGCCGGUGCCAAACCGGAGGAAGGUGGGGAUGACGUCAAGUCAGCAUGCCCCUUAUACCCAGGGCUGCACGCAUGCUACAAUGCGUGGUACAGAGGGCUGCGAUCCCGCAAGGGGGAGCGAAUCCCAAAAAGCCACGCUCAGUUCGGAUCGAGGUCUGCAACCCGACCUCGUGAAGUCGGAGUCGCUAGUAAUCGCAGAUCAGCAAUGCUGCGGUGAAUACGUUCCCGGGCCUUGUACACACCGCCCGUCACACCACGAAAGUGGGCAACACCCGAAGCCGGUGGCCUAACCGUAAGGAGGGAGCCGUCGAAGGUGGGGCUCGCGAUUGGGGUGAAGUCGUAACAAGGUAGCCGUACCGGAAGGUGCGGCUGGAUCACCUCCUUUCUAAGGAGCCUUUGGCAUCCCGGUGCGCGUGGACGACCGAUCCGCGCGCUGUAUCCCGGCAGACUCCAGGUCGAUAGCACUGGCCCCCGUCGGCAUCGACGGCGAGCUCGACGUUAGUACGCCCGCAAGGGAGUGGAACGCGCGAGUGAGCUCGGGACGCCGGCGGGCACACUGUUCAGCUUUGAGGGUGCGAAUCCUCGAGCACCUUGAGAACUCGAUAGCGAGCGCGAGCAUCUACAGUCAAGUUAUGAAGGGCUUACGGUGGAUGCCUUGGCGCCAGGAGCCGAUGAAGGACGCGUCAGGCUGCGAAAAGCUGCGGGGAGCCGCCGAGAGGGCUUUGAUCCGCAGGUGU